UGCGGUUGUGGCGGAACUGGCAGACGCGCAAGAUUCAGGUUCUUGUGUCCGAUAAGGACGUGGAGGUUCGAAUCCUCUCAACCGCAU
Molecule: transfer RNA, 87 nt
Filed under: Thalassoglobus neptunius
Lineage: Bacteria; Pseudomonadati; Planctomycetota; Planctomycetia; Planctomycetales; Planctomycetaceae
Description: Planctomycetes bacterium KOR42 tRNA-Ser
Rfam family: tRNA
About the family: Transfer RNA (tRNA) molecules are approximately 80 nucleotides in length. Their secondary structure includes four short double-helical elements and three loops (D, anti-codon, and T loops).
Source: RNAcentral